Molecule: ribosomal RNA, 405 nt
Filed under: uncultured bacterium
Lineage: Bacteria
Description: bacterial SSU rRNA
Rfam family: Bacterial small subunit ribosomal RNA
Source: RNAcentral
AGAGUUUGAUCCUGGCUCAGAAUCAACGCUGGCGGCGCGCUUAACACAUGCAAGUCGAACGAGAAAGGGAGCAAUCCUGAGUAAAGUGGCGCACUGGUGAGUAACACGUGGGUAAUUUACCUUCUUGUGGGGAAUAACCCUGGGAAACUAGGGCUAAUACCGCAUACGUCCGAGAGGAGAAAGCCGCAAGGCGCAGGAAGAGAAGCCCGCGGCCGAUUAGCUAGUUGGUGAGGUAAUGGCUCACCAAGGCGACGAUCGGUAGCCGGCCUGAGAGGGCACACGGCCACACUGGCACUGAAACACGGGCCAGACUCCUACGGGAGGCAGCAGUGGGGAAUCUUGCACAAUGGGGGAAACCCUGAUGCAGCGACGCCGCGUGAACGAUGAAGCCCUUCGGGGUGUAAA